GCGCCCGUAGCUCAAUUGGAUAGAGCGGUGGACUACGGAUCCGCAGGUUGCGUGUUCGACUCGCGUCGGGCGCA
This 74-nucleotide transfer RNA is filed under the name Caldifarciminota bacterium. Its description in RNAcentral is "tRNA-Arg". It matches the Rfam family "tRNA". Rfam says of the family: Transfer RNA (tRNA) molecules are approximately 80 nucleotides in length. Their secondary structure includes four short double-helical elements and three loops (D, anti-codon, and T loops). Further hydrogen bonds mediate the characteristic L-shaped molecular structure. tRNAs have two regions of fundamental functional importance: the anti-codon, which is responsible for specific mRNA codon recognition, and the 3' end, to which the tRNAs corresponding amino acid is attached (by aminoacyl-tRNA synthetases). tRNAs cope with the degeneracy of the genetic code in two manners: having more than one tRNA (with a specific anti-codon) for a particular amino acid; and 'wobble' base-pairing, i.e. permitting non-standard base-pairing at the 3rd anti-codon position. RNAcentral also lists the same sequence under 1 other name. Lineage: Bacteria; Pseudomonadati; Caldifarciminota. The record is from RNAcentral.